UCCCUGAUGGUCCAGUGGUUAGGACUUGGCGCUAUCAACGGCCCAUGGCCCGGGUUCAAUCCCUGGUCGGGGAA
Molecule: non-coding RNA, 74 nt
Organism: Balaenoptera musculus (blue whale)
Lineage: Eukaryota; Metazoa; Chordata; Mammalia; Artiodactyla; Balaenopteridae
Source: the annotation of a RefSeq genome assembly